GCGCCCGUGGCGGAAUUGGCAGACGCGCUGGAUUUAGGUUCCAGUGUCUUAGGACGUGAGAGUUCAAGUCUCUCUGGGCGCAC
RNAcentral lists this transfer RNA (83 nucleotides) under Corynebacterium diphtheriae. RNAcentral's name for it is "tRNA-Leu". It matches the Rfam family "tRNA". From Rfam's summary of the family: Transfer RNA (tRNA) molecules are approximately 80 nucleotides in length. Their secondary structure includes four short double-helical elements and three loops (D, anti-codon, and T loops). The record is from RNAcentral. Lineage: Bacteria; Bacillati; Actinomycetota; Actinomycetes; Mycobacteriales; Corynebacteriaceae.